RNAcentral lists this long non-coding RNA (261 nucleotides) under Mytilus galloprovincialis (Mediterranean mussel). Lineage: Eukaryota; Metazoa; Mollusca; Bivalvia; Mytilida; Mytilidae. The record is from RNAcentral.
CGCUUAAUCUUCACAACCGUAUAAGAAACCGACAAAUUAUUUUUUUCAAACUGCUCGUUAUAUCCUCAGGAUGUGCUGUUUUAUUUUGACCGAAGCCGUAUAGAGAUUCCAUAUGAGAGUUAUUCCCCCUUUUGUAUUUGAAAUUUUGAAAUGUAUUUUAAACUGGAAAACCAUAAGUGAUAGAGACCUAGGGUCUUUUGAUUUGAGAUCCUUGGUCCAAAAAAAUGAAAAUAAGGUCAAGGUCAAAGGUCAAGGUCAAUU